GGGUUGUGAGGUUAAGCGACUAAGCGUACACGGUGGAUGCCCUGGCAGUCAGAGGCGAUGAAGGACGUGCUAAUCUGCGAUAAGCGUCGGUAAGGUGAUAUGAACCGUUAUAACCGGCGAUUUCCGAAUGGGGAAACCCAGUGUGUUUCGACACACUAUCAUUAACUGAAUCCAUAGGUUAAUGAGGCGAACCGGGGGAACUGAAACAUCUAAGUACCCCGAGGAAAAGAAAUCAACCGAGAUUCCCCCAGUAGCGGCGAGCGAACGGGGAGCAGCCCAGAGCCUGAAUCAGUGUGUGUGUUAGUGGAAGCGUCUGGAAAGGCGCGCGAUACAGGGUGACAGCCCCGUACACAAAAAUGCACAUGCUGUGAGCUCGAUGAGUAGGGCGGGACACGUGGUAUCCUGUCUGAAUAUGGGGGGACCAUCCUCCAAGGCUAAAUACUCCUGACUGACCGAUAGUGAACCAGUACCGUGAGGGAAAGGCGAAAAGAACCCCGGCGAGGGGAGUGAAAAAGAACCUGAAACCGUGUACGUACAAGCAGUGGGAGCCUCUUUAUGGGGUGACUGCGUACCUUUUGUAUAAUGGGUCAGCGACUUAUAUUCUGUAGCAAGGUUAACCGAAUAGGGGAGCCGAAGGGAAACCGAGUCUUAACUGGGCGUUAAGUUGCAGGGUAUAGACCCGAAACCCGGUGAUCUAGCCAUGGGCAGGUUGAAGGUUGGGUAACACUAACUGGAGGACCGAACCGACUAAUGUUGAAAAAUUAGCGGAUGACUUGUGGCUGGGGGUGAAAGGCCAAUCAAACCGGGAGAUAGCUGGUUCUCCCCGAAAGCUAUUUAGGUAGCGCCUCGUGAAUUCAUCUCCGGGGGUAGAGCACUGUUUCGGCAAGGGGGUCAUCCCGACUUACCAACCCGAUGCAAACUGCGAAUACCGGAGAAUGUUAUCACGGGAGACACACGGCGGGUGCUAACGUCCGUCGUGAAGAGGGAAACAACCCAGACCGCCAGCUAAGGUCCCAAAGUCAUGGUUAAGUGGGAAACGAUGUGGGAAGGCCCAGACAGCCAGGAUGUUGGCUUAGAAGCAGCCAUCAUUUAAAGAAAGCGUAAUAGCUCACUGGUCGAGUCGGCCUGCGCGGAAGAUGUAACGGGGCUAAACCAUGCACCGAAGCUGCGGCAGCGACGCUUAUGCGUUGUUGGGUAGGGGAGCGUUCUGUAAGCCUGUGAAGGUGUGCUGUGAGGCAUGCUGGAGGUAUCAGAAGUGCGAAUGCUGACAUAAGUAACGAUAAAGCGGGUGAAAAGCCCGCUCGCCGGAAGACCAAGGGUUCCUGUCCAACGUUAAUCGGGGCAGGGUGAGUCGACCCCUAAGGCGAGGCCGAAAGGCGUAGUCGAUGGGAAACAGGUUAAUAUUCCUGUACUUGGUGUUACUGCGAAGGGGGGACGGAGAAGGCUAUGUUGGCCGGGCGACGGUUGUCCCGGUUUAAGCGUGUAGGCUGGUUUUCCAGGCAAAUCCGGAAAAUCAAGGCUGAGGCGUGAUGACGAGGCACUACGGUGCUGAAGCAACAAAUGCCCUGCUUCCAGGAAAAGCCUCUAAGCAUCAGGUAACAUCAAAUCGUACCCCAAACCGACACAGGUGGUCAGGUAGAGAAUACCAAGGCGCUUGAGAGAACUCGGGUGAAGGAACUAGGCAAAAUGGUGCCGUAACUUCGGGAGAAGGCACGCUGAUAUGUAGGUGAAGUCCCUUGCGGAUGGAGCUGAAAUCAGUCGAAGAUACCAGCUGGCUGCAACUGUUUAUUAAAAACACAGCACUGUGCAAACACGAAAGUGGACGUAUACGGUGUGACGCCUGCCCGGUGCCGGAAGGUUAAUUGAUGGGGUCAGCGCAAGCGAAGCUCUUGAUCGAAGCCCCGGUAAACGGCGGCCGUAACUAUAACGGUCCUAAGGUAGCGAAAUUCCUUGUCGGGUAAGUUCCGACCUGCACGAAUGGCGUAAUGAUGGCCAGGCUGUCUCCACCCGAGACUCAGUGAAAUUGAACUCGCUGUGAAGAUGCAGUGUACCCGCGGCAAGACGGAAAGACCCCGUGAACCUUUACUAUAGCUUGACACUGAACAUUGAGCCUUGAUGUGUAGGAUAGGUGGGAGGCUUAGAAGUGUGGACGCCAGUCUGCAUGGAGCCGACCUUGAAAUACCACCCUUUAAUGUUUGAUGUUCUAACGUUGACCCGUAAUCCGGGUUGCGGACAGUGUCUGGUGGGUAGUUUGACUGGGGCGGUCUCCUCCUAAAGAGUAACGGAGGAGCACGAAGGUUGGCUAAUCCUGGUCGGACAUCAGGAGGUUAGUGCAAUGGCAUAAGCCAGCUUGACUGCGAGCGUGACGGCGCGAGCAGGUGCGAAAGCAGGUCAUAGUGAUCCGGUGGUUCUGAAUGGAAGGGCCAUCGCUCAACGGAUAAAAGGUACUCCGGGGAUAACAGGCUGAUACCGCCCAAGAGUUCAUAUCGACGGCGGUGUUUGGCACCUCGAUGUCGGCUCAUCACAUCCUGGGGCUGAAGUAGGUCCCAAGGGUAUGGCUGUUCGCCAUUUAAAGUGGUACGCGAGCUGGGUUUAGAACGUCGUGAGACAGUUCGGUCCCUAUCUGCCGUGGGCGCUGGAGAACUGAGGGGGGCUGCUCCUAGUACGAGAGGACCGGAGUGGACGCAUCACUGGUGUUCGGGUUGUCAUGCCAAUGGCACUGCCCGGUAGCUAAAUGCGGAAGAGAUAAGUGCUGAAAGCAUCUAAGCACGAAACUUGCCCCGAGAUGAGUUCUCCCUGACUCCUUGAGAGUCCUGAAGGAACGUUGAAGACGACGACGUUGAUAGGCCGGGUGUGUAAGCGCAGCGAUGCGUUGAGCUAACCGGUACUAAUGAACCGUGAGGCUUAACCUUACAACGCCGAAG
This 2924-nucleotide ribosomal RNA is filed under the name Escherichia coli. Its description in RNAcentral is "partial 23S ribosomal RNA". It matches the Rfam family "Bacterial large subunit ribosomal RNA". The record is from RNAcentral. Lineage: Bacteria; Pseudomonadati; Pseudomonadota; Gammaproteobacteria; Enterobacterales; Enterobacteriaceae.